This is a long non-coding RNA of Aethalodelphis obliquidens (Pacific white-sided dolphin), 1490 nucleotides long. RefSeq lists it as uncharacterized. The transcript is spliced from 8 exons. The record is from RefSeq and is a predicted model, not a curated record. Lineage: Eukaryota; Metazoa; Chordata; Mammalia; Artiodactyla; Delphinidae.
UUCUACCUUCAUAGUAAGUUAUUCCUGUUGGUGGAGCUUGAGUAAAACUGAAAAAUAUUUUAAAGGCAGUUAAAUGAGACAAUAUUAAAAAUAGAGUCCUGGGUCAGUGCCUGGCACCAAAGAUGACCUAAUUAUUAUCAUCAGAACCACUGAAAAUGCUUUAUAAGCUUUUCUUAAUUAAGAAUAAUCCUUUAAGUACAAUAUUGAUUGAAGAAAAUCAAAUUAUACUGGUAACUGAAAUUCAAGACAAAAAUAAUGUAUGUAAACACUAAACUCUAGUCAAUAAAUUUGUUUCUUGCAGGAGUACAGGCUACCAAUUCUGAAUAUACGUGUAUACUGGGGUUGAACAAAUAAAUACAGGAAUGAUGGAAUGUAAGAGCCAGGUUUCUCAGUGCUGGAGAGAGAAAUUAUAGCAGCAUUAUUCCACAAUAGCCGAAAGACAGAAGCAGUCCAAGUCUCCAACAAUGGAUGAAUGCAUAAAGAAAAUGAUACAUGUACAUACAAUGUAAUAUUAUUCAGCCUGAAAAAAGAAGGAAAUUCUGACACAUGAUGCAACAUGGAUGAACCUUGAAGACUUAUAGAAAAAUGAAGAAAAUCUAACAAGAAUAAGCUUUGAAAAUAUUCUAGAGGAGCAAAGACUUUAAAGCUUUUAGAAGAGUUUAUAAAUUUGUUUUCCAGAGGAUACAGAGCAAAGUCACAUAAAGGGUGAACACUCUCAAGAGUGAGAUUGUAGGGGCCAGUGUAUAAUUUGUUUUCCUGAAGUUCUACUCAGCUGUUCCAAAGCAGCAGUACUAGUUUGCACUUUCAGUGGCAGUGCCUGAAGGUUCCUGUCAGUCAACCACUCACUAACACUUGAUGUUACCAGGCUUUCUAAUUUGUCCUAAUCAGGCUUCUGACCAACCAGAGAAGUCAUUCACUACUACCAAUGAGCAAGUAUUCUUACCUCAGGCUACUUCUCUUUACAUACUAAGUGGACGAGCACAUUCAACCUGAGCUCUGACCUUUGGGAGGAUUUCUCCUUGGAGGAUUACCUGUCUUUCAGCACCACCUGAGUAUGGAGUUAAUAUAGCAACAAUCCAUUUUUAACUUGCAUCUAUUUACAAGACUGCACCUGCACCAGAGCUCUUUCCUGAGUCCCAUUCAAAGCUGGCAGCAUCACCUGGUAUAUGGGUCAGGUCUGUGUUCAAAGUAUGCCAUAUGGUUCUUUAAAUCCAUGUAAGGAUCAGCACGUCUGUCGUGUGAUCUACAAACUACACAAAAGUGGGGGAGAGGGACAUAAGAAGACCUGAAAGAGGCUUAAGUGUCCUUUGGAAUCUCUAAAGAAAAAUGAAGUAAGAGUCUGUAUACCAAGCAGGAUACCUCACACUCCAACCAUUAGGUAUGUAACUGCUUUCUGUGAAUCAAAGUUUUCACAACAUCAAUCUAUACCUUACCAGAGCUGGUCAAAGACGGCUAUAGCCACAGGUCGCUGACCCUAUCCCUUAACUACU